GACGAACGCUGGCGGCGUGCCUAAUACAUGCAAGUCGAGCGAGCUUGCCUAGAUGAAUUUGGUGCUUGCACCAAAUGAAACUAGAUACAAGCGAGCGGCGGACGGGUGAGUAACACGUGGGUAACCUGCCCAAGAGACUGGGAUAACACCUGGAAACAGAUGCUAAUACCGGAUAACAACACUAGACGCAUGUCUAGAGUUUAAAAGAUGGUUCUGCUAUCACUCUUGGAUGGACCUGCGGUGCAUUAGCUAGUUGGUAAGGUAACGGCUUACCAAGGCAAUGAUGCAUAGCCGAGUUGAGAGACUGAUCGGCCACAUUGGGACUGAGACACGGCCCAAACUCCUACGGGAGGCAGCAGUAGGGAAUCUUCCACAAUGGACGCAAGUCUGAUGGAGCAACGCCGCGUGAGUGAAGAAGGGUUUCGGCUCGUAAAGCUCUGUUGGUAGUGAAGAAAGAUAGAGGUAGUAACUGGCCUUUAUUUGACGGUAAUUACUUAGAAAGUCACGGCUAACUACGUGCCAGCAGCCGCGGUAAUA
This 537-nucleotide ribosomal RNA is filed under the name uncultured Lactobacillus sp. Its description in RNAcentral is "bacterial SSU rRNA". It matches the Rfam family "Bacterial small subunit ribosomal RNA", at positions 28 to 525 of the family's 1533-position model. The record is from RNAcentral. Lineage: Bacteria; Bacillati; Bacillota; Bacilli; Lactobacillales; Lactobacillaceae.